This 380-nucleotide ribosomal RNA is filed under the name uncultured eukaryote. Its description in RNAcentral is "partial 18S ribosomal RNA". It matches the Rfam family "Eukaryotic small subunit ribosomal RNA", at positions 592 to 976 of the family's 1831-position model. The record is from RNAcentral.
CAAUAGCGUAUAUUAAAGUUGUUGCGGUUAAAAAGCUCGUAGUUGGAGUUCUGCCAGGUGACACUCGUCCGCCCAAGUGGUGUGUACAGGGUGUGCAUCUGGCCCUUUCAAGGGGAACGUGUCUGCACUUCAUUGUGUGGUGCGAGAUCCUUGACUUUUACUUUGAGGAAAUAAGAGUGUUCCAAGCAGGCUCUCGUCGUGCAUAGCUCAGCAUGGAAUAAUAGCAUUGGACUUCGUUUCUACGCUGUUGGUUGCAAGAAGCGAGGUAAUGAUGAAGAGGGAUAGUUGGGGGCAUUCGUAUUUAACUGUCAGGGGUGAAAUUCUUGGAUUUGUUAAAGACGGACUACUGCGAAAGCAUCUGCCAUGGAUGUUUUCAUUGA